UCGUGCCCCGGGGGAGGGGAAAAAGGAGGACCCGGGAAAGGGGAAAGAUUUAAAAUAGUCUACAGAAAGGAGAGGAGGAAGGGGACGGGUGACACAUCGUUCACAUAGCCCAGGUUCUGAUUUCAAGUGAAGACCCCGCCGCUGCGCCCACACAGACAGCUUGACAUUCCCAGCUCCACAUGCCAAAAAGAAAGAAAGAAAAGAGAGAAGAAAAAAUAGCAAAAGCCGGGACUGCCACCUAUUAUUUACUUAGGCACAGUCAAAAGCGGUCAGGAGGAAAAGGGGGGAAGUGGGACAGGGGCUCCGAAGGAGGGAAAUGAAAGAAGGAAACGUCCUCGUCCUCCCUCUGCAGCUUCUCCCCUGCGCUCCUCGGGCGAAUCGGAGAGGCGGGCGCUGCGCUGGGGAAAGUUUGUCCCACCCGCACCUCGCAGCUGGCUUCGAGGAGAGGAGGAGGAGCGGGAAGUACGGCUCCGAGCCUGCGGCCGCGAGGACGACUGAGCUAGCGCCGCGCUUACCUCGCAGUCCUCGUACUUGAUAUUAUCCGUCAGUUUCCAAAGCAUUUUCAUGGAUCGGCGUGAAUGGAUUUGCCCCCUCUCCGCCUCGCACCCAAGUGGAGCUACUCUCUGGCCUAAUCGCCUCAUUAGCAUAUCAACAAUAGUCCAAUUGCUCGCCAGCACCACAAUCUGCCGCCGGCCGCUCCGACCCAGGUAUAAAGGCCUCUCCAAGCCGCAAACUUGCUCCUAGAGCGCGCUCCUGCCGGGGAGCCCACGAAAUCUCCCUUGAGCCCCGCCGCGCGCCCCUGUCCCGGCGCCCCCGCCCCCAUGCCACUCUUCUCCUCUCUCCUCUCCUCUCCUCUCCGUCUCCUCCUCGCCGGAGACGCCCCGGCAAAAGCCCGGCACUGCGCAGGGUCCGAGAGGCCGCGCCGGGGCCCGGCUUUCAUCACCUCUCCCUCAUCCCUGCCUCCACCAGCGGCUCUGUCCUUUCGGCCCCGUCCAAUCUUAUUAGAAAUUACUAUCCCUUUCGCAAUCAAAUAUAACCACCAAACGAAGACCGGCGAAGUCACAUCAGGAUUUUUGCCCAACAAGAGAUCGCCUCCGCUCCCGGCAGCUGACACCUCCGGCCGCGGCGCCCUGGGAGUUUUACUGGCUUCGCGCUUCCCAGCCCACCCCACCCCCCAGGUUGGAGAUUUUGCCAGACGGCUUCAGUCGCUCGGCUGGGCUUUGGGAUCCUUUAAUUGCCGCGUGUAAAAUAAAAAGUGUACCCUGAAGAGGUUACUUGACA
Long non-coding RNA from Balaenoptera acutorostrata (minke whale), 1281 nucleotides. RefSeq lists it as uncharacterized. The transcript is spliced from 3 exons. NCBI's taxonomy places the organism in Eukaryota, Metazoa, Chordata, Mammalia, Artiodactyla, Balaenopteridae. The record is from RefSeq and is a predicted model, not a curated record.